UUAACACAUGCAAGUCGAGCGGGCGUAGCAAUACGUCAGCGGCAGACGGGUGAGUAACGCGUGGGAACAUACCUUUUGGUUCGGAACAACACAGGGAAACUUGUGCUAAUACCGGAUAAGCCCUUACGGGGAAAGAUUUAUCGCCGAAAGAUUGGCCCGCGUCUGAUUAGCUAGUUGGUGAGGUAACGGCUCACCAAGGCGACGAUCAGUAGCUGGUCUGAGAGGAUGAUCAGCCACAUUGGGACUGAGACACGGCCCAAACUCCUACGGGAGGCAGCAGUGGGGAAUAUUGGACAAUGGGCGCAAGCCUGAUCCAGCCAUGCCGCGUGAGUGAUGAAGGCCCUAGGGUUGUAAAGCUCUUUUGUGCGGGAAGAUAAUGACGGUACCGCAAGAAUAAG
Molecule: ribosomal RNA, 398 nt
Filed under: grassland soil clone saf1_323
Lineage: Bacteria
Description: bacterial SSU rRNA
Rfam family: Bacterial small subunit ribosomal RNA
Source: RNAcentral